RNAcentral lists this ribosomal RNA (330 nucleotides) under Triticum aestivum (bread wheat). RNAcentral's name for it is "partial small subunit ribosomal RNA". The record is from RNAcentral. Lineage: Eukaryota; Viridiplantae; Streptophyta; Magnoliopsida; Poales; Poaceae.
AUGACAGGAUCCAACUUGAGUGUACAUGGACAUCAACAUGUCUAUGAUGCUCUCCCAAAAUCUCGGGCUGCAGUUGGUGAAAUGAUUGAGGAGAGUAUAGCUGCAGCUAUGCGAAAGUUGUUCGGAGGCCGUCUUCCUAUCACGGGCAAUGGGGAUCAACAUCAACACAGCCCUACUACCUCGCUGGCCCCGGACAACCGACAACGCCAAGGAAAUGAGGAUCGCCACGAUGGUCGUGGAAGAGCGGCAGGAGCUGUUGCCCACGGCACCCUUGCUGUUGGGGCUAAAUGGAGGCGUGGCGAAUUUUCUACCCCCCGUGAGGGUGGGUAA